GGCUGCUUCUAGUGCUGAGACCUUUCCCUUCCUUUUCUUCAAUCUGGCCUUCUUUCCUGAUGGUUUUUAAUUAAUUCAGGAAAAUGGCUGAUAAUAUGAAAAUCGUAGUUUCAUAUUAUGAAAAUAAUAUGAAUUUUCAUUCAUAUUAUAAUGAAAUAUAAUGUUUUCAUUAUAUUCAUCAUCAAAUAACUACAAACUCAUAUUCUGAAAUCCUUAAUGUCACUUAAUCCUCCAUGGAGC
Molecule: long non-coding RNA, 240 nt
Filed under: Bos taurus (domestic cattle)
Lineage: Eukaryota; Metazoa; Chordata; Mammalia; Artiodactyla; Bovidae
Description: long non-coding RNA NONBTAT023050
Source: RNAcentral